This 1293-nucleotide long non-coding RNA is filed under the name Corvus moneduloides (New Caledonian crow). RNAcentral's name for it is "lncRNA (ENSCMUG00000017515.1)". The record is from RNAcentral. Lineage: Eukaryota; Metazoa; Chordata; Aves; Passeriformes; Corvidae.
AUGACGUCACACCCCCCGCCCGCCCUGAUGACGUCACCGAUGACGUCACCGAUGACAUCACGCACUCUGCACGCAGGUCACGUGCUCCUCGCGCAGGGGGGGGCUGGGCUGGGCGGGGGGCGGGGCCCGCGCGGGGGGCGGGGCCGGGGGGGCGGGGCCGGGGGGGCGGGGCCCGGGCUCGGCCCCUCCCCCUCCGAUGACGUUGCUGAUCAGGAUCGGGCCCUCGGCGGGGGGGGGAGGGGCGCGGGGGGGGGAGGGGCAGCCCGGGAGCGGCCCCGCCCCUCCCCCACCCCCACCCAGCGCGUGGGGGAGGGGCCCUGGGGAGAGAAGGGGGAGGGGCGCUCAGAGAGAGCCCCAAAAUUCGCCGUUCUCAGCCCAAAACUUCCGCCCGAAUCCCUCCCCCCCUCCAAAUCCGGGGCAUGGACCCCCCCCCAAAAACGGGCUAAAGCCCCUCCCCCACGAAUUUGGGGAUCCCUCCCCGGAAUUUGGGACCCCCCAAAGGAGCUCUGGGACCCCUCCCCCAAAUCCCAGCCCCAUUUUGGGACCCUCCCCUGGAUUUGGGGCCCCUCCCCCCAUUUUGGGACCCUCCCCUGGAUUUGGGGCCCCUCCCCCCAUUUUGGGACCCUCCUCUGGAUUUGGGGGCCCCUCCCCCCAUUUCCCUCCCCAAACUCGGGGUCCGCCCCCCCUUCCCCCCCCAAUUCCCCUCCCCCUCCUCACCUUCAUCCCUGCCCAGCCCCUCCCCCACCCCCCCCCUCCCCAAACCCCGCCGGGGGGAGGGGCAGGGGCAGGGGGAGGGGCUCGAACAGGGCCGGGGGAGGGGCGGCCCCUCCCCCCCUCUGCUGCUCCGGGAACGCGGGGGGGGGGGCGGGGCGGGGGUGGGGGAGGGGCGGGAGGCGCGGGGAGGGGGAGGAGGGGGGAGGGGCCUUGCGGGCGCUGCCCCUCCCCCCCCUGCGGCGGGGGGGGAACCCCCAGAGCCCCCCCCGGGCCAGGAGCAGCCGCAGCACCCGCAGCGCCCGCAGCCGCCGCCGGGGGGCGCCCUUGCGCCGGGGGGGGCCCCCCCAAAACUUCUGGGGGUUCCCCGAGUUCUGGGGGGGCCCCCAGAGCCGCCCCGCCCCCCCGCCCCCCCGGGAGUUGGUGCGGUCCGGGCCCCCCCCCGGCCCCUCCCCCCCCCCCCAGAACGGGCCGGGAGGGGGGGGAGGGGGGGGGGGACGAGGGGGGAGGGGCGGCCCCGCCCCCGCCCCCCAAAUUCGGCGGCGCCUCUUUCAUGGCGGCCUGGGGGGAGGGGAGGGUUAA